Molecule: long non-coding RNA, 650 nt
Organism: Cuculus canorus (common cuckoo)
Lineage: Eukaryota; Metazoa; Chordata; Aves; Cuculiformes; Cuculidae
Exons: 3
Source: RefSeq, a predicted model, not a curated record
CUCUAUGAGUUUUAUUAGAUAGAGGUCUGAAACAAAACUGCUACCUUGACAGGAAUAUGGUACAGCAGGAAUUUAUUUUCUCUAUAAACAUUUGAUGUUUCUGCCCUGAAUUGUGGUGAAUGAGAUCUUUGGUUUUGCCCUUAGCGGACACGAGGAUUUCCCUCCAGCACGCUGUCGAGUGGUCUUAUGCUGAACCCCAAGUGAACUCGAGAGAGAGAUCUGGAUAUGUGGUUUCCCACGUAUUUCCAUUUUUCAGCAGGAUGACAUCUGUUCUUUCAGAGAGCACUACCUGGAUUUGCUCUGAGCUCGUUCUACAAUCGGAGAAGAGACCAGACAAGCAUUUGUAUCCUUCCUAGGAACAACCUCACGGCGAGCUCUCAUGUCGGCACAGCUCCUGACAGCAUGGAACAGCAGAGAUGAUGAGAGACCAGCAGGCUGCUGAAUAAUAAGCUGCUGAGCGGCGGCAGAUGCUUGUGAAUCUUCUGCAUAGCUUCUCUUGGAAUGUAACAUCGCUGUGUCUGCAGUGAUCGGGGCACCUCUCGCGCUGCGUUGUUUGAGCUCUAAACUGUCAGCGCUGUUGACAGUAAACUACAAAUUAUAAGUAUUGCUUGAGAUGGGCAUGGGUGCAUUUUUAGCAUUGCAGGAAGAAA